AGAAAAAAGCUAAAUUCUUAAUACAAAGCAAACAAGAGUCAGUGCUGGAAGAAAAACAAAAAUAUUUAUUCAAAAUUGGGCACAGCAAAAAUUAAAAUUAAGCUGGCAUUGCUAUGUGGAAGUGGAAGUUCUUGCUUCGGUUGGGGAAGACAUUUAAUCGCUGAGUGAUGUGGGUGUAUUCCGCGGCGUGGAUGUGAAAGUUUUUUGUGUAAACUACAGUUAAUUGGGGAAAAAAGAAUGGUUUAAGACAAAAGCAAACGCAAUUUGUAGCUAAUUGCUGAAGCGUAACUACAAGUACGGAGCGCGCAUCCAACGUUCGUGUGCCAAAUCUACCGCAACAUAAGCUAUCAAUCAGUCAUACGUACACAUAGUCACUCAGUUAGUCGGAUAGUCAAUCAACAGAAAAAUAUAAAAACUAAAUUAAAUAAAUAAAAACACCCCAGCACUUGCAAAUCUAUUAGCGGCAACAUGCAAUACAACAACAAAUCAUCAAUGUAGCAACUCAAGAGCAUUAAUAACCUUUGCGAUUGCUCAUUUUUGUAUAAAAAUAACAACAAGCAAAAAUUCAUUAAAAAUAUUUUAAAAGAAAAACACCAAAGGAUAAAUGUUUUAAAAAAACACUUGCGAAAGAAAAGUUUUUGACUUUCACUGCAAAAAGUUGAAAAUCAUCCAAUAGAAAAAUGCACCAAAAAUCUAUUAAAAAUCAAAAUACAAAUAAAAAAACUGUGAAAAUGCUAUUGGUAGCCGGCAAUACAGUACAACAGCGUAAUAGCAUUAUAACAACAACAAUAACAAAUAGAAAAACAACACGAACAACUAACAUAUGUUGCCAUAUAUCCAGCUGGAGUGCGCUUUUUGUGCUUUCGGUGUUGAGCAUCUUCGCCAGCCAACACCUACCGGCGGCUCAAGCCUUCGAUUUGGGCAAUGAAUUGAAUCUCAAACCGACAAAUUAUGCUGAGUGGAAUGAAAAUGUCACGUAUGUCAGCUCGACAAGCUAUAAUGCGCGUGGCAUGCAGCCGCUCUAUGAGAUAACACAUAAAAUUAUAUGGUUCUUUACUGGUAAAGAUCCACUGCCAGAAGGCUACCUCGUGGUCAAGGAAAACGACAUCGAAAUUGGUCCGAAAGUUGAACGCCAUGAAUGGAUUGAUUUCAUUAAAGAUUAUUGGAAAAUAUGGCUAAUUGUUCUAUUUGUCGGUCUACUAAUUGUCACAAUGCCAGUUGUUGGUCUGUGCUUUUGUUGCUGCCGUUGUGCUGGUGCUUGUGGUGGCCGCUCGGAGCCGUUUGACAAGAAACAUGACACCUGUCGCCGUGUGUUCUUGGGAUUUUUGCUUAUAGUAUUAGCAACAGGUUUGAUCUUCGGUGUCAUCGUCACAUUUGCAACAAACAGUUAUAUGCAACAGGGUAUUGAGAAUAGCACAAAUCGUGUACGUGAUGCCAGCAAUGAUACCUGCAAAUUUCUGCAAACCACAUCGGGACAAAUCGAUCACAUACUCGUAACGAACUAUAAACAAUUAUCCAUACAGCUGGAAAACAUUAUGCGCGAAACCUCAAGUUUCAUCAUAAAAGAGUUGGAGCAAAAGUCCAUGGCCGUUUCGUUGAUUUAUCUCACAGACUUUCUUGAAAAACUGCCGCAGCUUAAAAUAAAGUUACAGAAAAUGAAAAGCAUCACUAAUGAUUUGCGCGUUUAUGCAUCACAGUUGAGCGAUGGGUUGCGGGGCGUUAAGCGUGAGUUGUUAGUUAUGCUUACGAAAUGCAACAAUAAGGCAUGUCAGGAUGUUUUAAACAAAUAUGAAAUCGGCAAGCUUGAUGCUAACGGUAUACACUAUGAUCAGCUACCUGAUGUAACCGACAUCAUUGAUAAUUUGGAUAGUUUGAUUAGUAAGGACAUAGCCUCGGCUGGUAAACGUGGACGUGAUAUGCUUAAUCAAAUGCGCGCACAUCUCAAUACGACAAUUGCGAAAUAUACACCAAAAGUGAUUGAUUCAAUAAACAAAGCAGGAAAUGCUUUCAAAAAGGCCUCAGAUAGCAUCAAAAUGGAAAUUAACAAAGUUUCACAGGUUAUCAAAGAUAAUACUCACAAAUAUACCGGUGUUGCUGAUGGUUAUUUAAAUGAAUAUGGACCGUAUAGAUUUCAUUUCGGCAUAGCAGUAUGUUCGAUAUUAUUGACGAUUUUAGUUUUCGUUGUUGCUGCUUUGUUAUGCGGUAUAUGUGGCAAACGCCCGGACGGUUAUGGCGACGAUUGCUGCAAUAAAGGCUCCGGCUCACGUUUCCUGAUGCUCGCUGUAACAUUUAUUUUCCUGUUUAUCUCAGCGAUUGCUUUAAUCACUUUGGUGCACUUUUUGAUCGGUCUAAUCGCCUAUCGUGGCGUAUGUCUUCCAUUAAAGGACCCUCAAAACGACAAUAUUUUCGCACAUUUUGAUAACGCUAUUAAUUUGAAUAACGUGCUUUAUCCGCAACAAAAUAAGGGCAAACCAACCUCAGGUGGCUUACCAGCUCUACGCAUUUCCCAUGUGAUCACAGCUUGUCAACGGAAUCAGACAAUUUACGAAGUGUUACACAUACAUAAUCGUAUUGAUAUACACGAAAUUAAAGAUUAUCCAGCACAAUAUAAAAUCAAUCAGACAUUGGAUGAUCUCGUUGAUGGCAUUUCCUUUGACGAUAGUGACAUACAAAUAUUGAGUCCUGAAGAUAAACAACGCAUAUUGAGUCUUGCCGAUUCUGCAUUGAAAAAUUUCGAUUCCGCACAAUAUAUAGAUAAUCUCAACGAUACGAUAACAAAACAUUCGUUAACUGAAAUUGCUCAAGAGUUAUUGCAGACAGCGAAGAAAAUCGAUAAGAGUGAAGAUAUGAAAGAUGUACAGGUCAGUCUGCGUAAUCAAGCACUGCACUUGGAGACUUACGAACAGAAUUGGGUAAUACCAAUGAAAAAUAAAUCUGUGGAACUUAUACGCCUUGCAAAUGAUUUGGAUUACAGUCUGCGCUAUAAGGAUCGUCCAUUCCAUGAAUCCAUACCGUUGUUGGUCAAUGAAAUUGAGCGUGCGCAAUUGUUCUUCCGCGUCGAUGGUCGGCAAUUCGUUAAAGAUACAGCCAUCAAUUUGACACAGUAUUUUGCCAGCGAAAUUGAAAACUAUUUGCGUAUGGUUGUGCAGGCUGUAGAGAAGAAAAUCGGUUUGUGUGCGCCAUUGGCGAAUGUCUACGAUGCUGGCGUGGUGUCGUUGUGUAGCGCUAUUGUAGAUCCAUUGAAUGGUUUCUGGGCUGGUGCCGCUCUUUGUAUUGUGCUCUUCUUGCCAACGCUGGUGGUAGCCGUGAAAUUGGCUAGCUUAUACCAGAAAUCUGAUCCAUAUCCUGGUCCGCUGGUGGAAUCGGAGUAUUUGUAUGACGCAUAUAGUGAACGUGAUCACAUUCCAUUGGCAAAUGGUCCAAAGAACAAGCGACGAAAGAAUAAAGAUCGUAGACGCGGUCGUGAAUACUACGAGGAACCUGUUCCCUCCUCGGCGCAUGGUAUACCACCAACUGUGGGUGUGCGUGAUACGCGUUACAACGAUAUGGCACCCAACGCUAAGUAUAUUAUUGGCUCUGUUGAUACGAGGCCACGAUCUUUGGCGGGCGAUGGUUUCUAUUAGGUUCUAAUAAACACUGACGAUGGUGAUGAUGCAUUAUCGGUGACAAUAAUAAUAAUGAUGAUGAUGAUGAUGAUGUAAUGGUGACAUUGGGAUGGCGGCCCACCGAGAUACCAAAAUCCACCAAUGGCACCACCUGCAUCCGAAUAUGAACGCCCACCGCCAUAUUAUUAUCCGGGUGCU
RNAcentral lists this unclassified non-coding RNA (3803 nucleotides) under Ceratitis capitata (Mediterranean fruit fly). RNAcentral's name for it is "prominin-like protein, transcript variant X1". Lineage: Eukaryota; Metazoa; Arthropoda; Insecta; Diptera; Tephritidae. The record is from RNAcentral.